This 725-nucleotide ribosomal RNA is filed under the name uncultured eukaryote. RNAcentral's name for it is "SSU rRNA". It matches the Rfam family "Eukaryotic small subunit ribosomal RNA", at positions 674 to 1426 of the family's 1831-position model. The record is from RNAcentral.
UGAGUAACUGUGCUCCUAGACUGUUUAGCCGGUUUUCCUUGGUUUGCCUUCACCGGUAGGCCAUGGUGGCUGGCGUGUUUACCUUGAAUAAAUUAGAGUGCUCAAGACAGGCGUUUUGCUUGUAUAUCCGUGCAUGGAAUAAUGGAACAGGACUUCGGUUCAUUCUGUUGGUCUUGGAACCGAUGUAAUGGUUAAGAGGGACUGACGGGGGCAUCCGUAUCGCUGCGUGAGAGGUGAAAUUCUUGGACCGCAGCGGGACGUCCAACUGCGAAAGCAUUUGCCAAGAAUGUCUUCAUUAAUCAAGAACGAAAGUCAGAGGAUCGAAGGCGAUUAGAUACCGCCCUAGUUCUGACCGUAAACGAUGCCAACUAGCGAUCAGGUGCUGAUAGUUUAGUCGCGCCUGGGAGCUUCCCGGAAACGAAAGUCUUCGGGUUCCGGGGGUAGUAUGGUUGCAAAGCUGAAACUUAAAGGAAUUGACGGAAGGGCACCACCAGGAGUGGAGCCUGCGGCUUAAUUUGACUCAACACGGGAAAACUCACCCGGCCCGGACACUAGUAUGAUUGACAGAUUGAUAGUUCUUUCCUGAUUUGGUGGUUGGUGGUGCAUGGCCGUUCUUAGUUGGUGGAGUGAUUUGUCUGGUUUAUUCCGAUAACGAACGAGACUCUAACCUGCUAAAUAGUUUCCCGGUAGCUUAGCCGGCUGAAACUUCUUAGAGGGAUCAGUGG